Molecule: long non-coding RNA, 430 nt
Organism: Anguilla rostrata (American eel)
Lineage: Eukaryota; Metazoa; Chordata; Actinopteri; Anguilliformes; Anguillidae
Exons: 4
Source: RefSeq, a predicted model, not a curated record
GUUGGAAUGAGCUGCGGAGCGGACGUGAGGGGUGAGGGGUCAGAUCCACACCCCGUCUGAUUCGCCGGCAGCCGUGUGCCAGCACUGCAGCAAAGUUAUCGCAUUAGGGAAAGCGCAGCGGGCGAACCUCGAAGCUGGUGUAUCGGUUUGGUGUUACCUGGCAGCCAGGAAAAGGACACAGCUGACAGUCAGCUGGACCCGGUAGAGAAUGCUUAUACCCAGGGACAUGAAGGGCUUGGAGAAGUCGAUGACUUUCUCUCUCUCUGAAGUGAUGGUGAAGCCCGCCACCGCCAGGACCCGUUGGGCUCCGGGGCCCCGUACAGCCCGUCGUCCACCAGCUUGAUCCGGAAGGAGAACUUGAGGAUGUCGGCCAGCUCCCUCAGCAUGUCCACGCAGAAGCCCUCGUACUGGUCGUUGCCCUUCAAGUCUU